RNAcentral lists this RNase P RNA (371 nucleotides) under Gammaproteobacteria bacterium SG8_31. Its description in RNAcentral is "bacterial RNase P". It matches the Rfam family "Bacterial RNase P class A". From Rfam's summary of the family: Ribonuclease P (RNase P) is a ubiquitous endoribonuclease, found in archaea, bacteria and eukarya as well as chloroplasts and mitochondria. Its best characterised activity is the generation of mature 5'-ends of tRNAs by cleaving the 5'-leader elements of precursor-tRNAs. RNAcentral also lists the same sequence under 1 other name. Lineage: Bacteria; Pseudomonadati; Pseudomonadota; Gammaproteobacteria. The record is from RNAcentral.
GGAGUCGGCCAGACAGCCGCCGUAAUCCAUCGCGGUUACGGAGGAAAGUCCGGGCUCCGAAGGGCAGGGUGCCAGGUAACGCCUGGGGGGCAUGAGCCCACGGAAAGUGCCACAGAAAAUAUACCGCCGGACGCCGAUGGCGCCGGUAAGGGUGAAAAGGUGCGGUAAGAGCGCACCGCGCGGGUGGCAACACUUCGCGGCACGGUAAACCCCACCCGGAGCAAGACCAAAUAGGGGGGCAUGCCGCUGAAACAGGCGGCGACGUGCGGCCCGCACGUGUUCCCGGGUAGGUCGCUUGAGGUGCGCGGCGACGCGCAUCCCAGAUGAAUGGCUGUCCACGACAGAACCCGGCUUAUCGGCCGACUCUUUUU